This 634-nucleotide long non-coding RNA is filed under the name Brassica napus (rape). Its description in RNAcentral is "long non-coding RNA (BNAP_LNC001775)". The record is from RNAcentral. Lineage: Eukaryota; Viridiplantae; Streptophyta; Magnoliopsida; Brassicales; Brassicaceae.
UUAGAACCAAUGUGGUUGGACACAAGAAGCUCUGGAUCACGGCCUAACAGGUGCAGCAACUCUUUACAGCUUUGCGCACACUUCACACUUCACACUUCAGCUUCACCUCUUCAUGGAACCGGUUUGAAGUCUCCCCCUCUCAACUGACUUCUCAGCCAUCUUAGAGAAGCUAGGACGCGACCAGAUCAUCUUCAAAACACUAGUGAGGCUGAUCAAUACUUCACACCCGGCUUGCCCUCUUUAUAGACUAGGUUUAGGGUCUCCCCCUCUCAACAGACUUCACAGCCCCUUUAGAGAAGCUAGGAGAUUCCCCGGAACUGUUUAAUGAGGCUACAAGCAAUUGUACCUGAUACAUUAUCCCAAAGGUGCAUCAGUACCUAUCAAAAACAAGAAAAUUAAUAUCAUGCAUCACACUUGAUGCACACAAUCCCAUAAUUCAAUCAUGAUCAUCUUAAGUAUCUUUUCAAGCACAAGCAAUGAAUUUAAAAAGUCUAAGGGAACUUCCCUUGUGUUUUUGUGAGUUUCCUAACUCGGCCAAUGCACCAUCUUCAUGGCAUCAUCAACUUCUUGGAAAGGCAGAGUGGAUUCAUUAGCUUCUCCUCAAUCACCUCUCAUUGAAGCCGCAUUGAUGGAG